RNAcentral lists this transfer RNA (74 nucleotides) under Priapulus caudatus. Its description in RNAcentral is "tRNA-Val". It matches the Rfam family "tRNA". From Rfam's summary of the family: Transfer RNA (tRNA) molecules are approximately 80 nucleotides in length. Their secondary structure includes four short double-helical elements and three loops (D, anti-codon, and T loops). Lineage: Eukaryota; Metazoa; Priapulida; Priapulimorpha; Priapulimorphida; Priapulidae. The record is from RNAcentral.
GUUCCGAUAGUGUAGUGGUUAUCACAUCUGCCUAACACGCAGAAGGUCCCAGGUUCGAUACCUGGUCAGAAACA